GGGCCUGUAGCUCAACUGGGAGAGCGCUACAAUCGCACUGUAGAGGUCAAGGGUUCGAGAUCCCUUCAGGUCCA
RNAcentral lists this transfer RNA (74 nucleotides) under Anaerolineae bacterium. Its description in RNAcentral is "tRNA-Ala". It matches the Rfam family "tRNA". Rfam says of the family: Transfer RNA (tRNA) molecules are approximately 80 nucleotides in length. Their secondary structure includes four short double-helical elements and three loops (D, anti-codon, and T loops). The record is from RNAcentral. Lineage: Bacteria; Bacillati; Chloroflexota; Anaerolineae.